Molecule: ribosomal RNA, 439 nt
Filed under: uncultured bacterium
Lineage: Bacteria
Description: partial 16S ribosomal RNA
Rfam family: Bacterial small subunit ribosomal RNA
Source: RNAcentral
CUACGGGGUGCAGCAGUGGGGAAUAUUGCACAAUGGAGGAAACUCUGAUGCAGCAACGCCGCGUGGAGGAUGACACUUUUCGGAGCGUAAACUCCUUUUAUAUAGGAAGAAGAUGACGGUACUAUAUGAAUAAGCGCCGGCUAACUCCGUGCCAGCAGCCGCGGUAAUAAGGAGGGCGCAAGCGUUACUCGGAAUCACUGGGCGUAAAGAGCGUGUAGGCGGAUUAAAAAGUCAGAAGUGAAAUCCUAUAGCUUAACUAUAGAACUGCUUCUGAAACUCUUAAUCUAGAAUAUGGGAGAGGUAGAUGGAAUUUCUGGUGUAGGGGUAAAAUCCGUAGAGAUCAGAAGGAAUACCGAUUGCGAAGGCGAUCUACUAGAACAUUAUUGACGCUGAGACGCGAAAGCGUGGGGAGCAAACAGGAUUAGAUACCCUGGUAGUC